GACUUGGUGGUUCAGUGGUAGAAUUCUUGCCUUCCAUGUAGGAGACCUGGAUUCUAUUUCCGGCCAGUACA
This 71-nucleotide transfer RNA is filed under the name Loxodonta africana (African savanna elephant). It matches the Rfam family "tRNA". Rfam says of the family: Transfer RNA (tRNA) molecules are approximately 80 nucleotides in length. Their secondary structure includes four short double-helical elements and three loops (D, anti-codon, and T loops). The record is from Rfam by way of RNAcentral. Lineage: Eukaryota; Metazoa; Chordata; Mammalia; Proboscidea; Elephantidae.